CUACGGGGUGCUCCAGUGAGGAAUAUUGCACAAUGGGGGGAACCCUGAUGCAGCAACGCCGCGUGGAGGAUGACGCAUUUCGGUGUGUAAACUCCUUUUAUAUGUCAAGAAAAUGACGGUAGCAUAUGAAUAAGCACCGGCUAACUCCGUGCCAGCAGCCGCGGUAACACGGAGGGUGCAAGCGUUACUCGGAAUCACUGGGCGUAAAGGACGCGUAGGCGGGUUGGAAAGUCAGGUGUGAAAUCCUACAGCUUAACUGUAGAACUGCACUUGAAACUUCUAAUCUAGAGUAUGGGAGGGGGAGAUGGAAUUAGUGGUGUAGGGGUAAAAUCCGUAGAUAUCACUAGGAAUACCUAAAGCGAAGGCGAUCUCCUGGAACAUUACUGACGCUAAGGCGUGAAAGCGUGGGGAGCAAACAGGAUUAGAUACCCCAGUAGUC
This 439-nucleotide ribosomal RNA is filed under the name uncultured bacterium. RNAcentral's name for it is "partial 16S ribosomal RNA". It matches the Rfam family "Bacterial small subunit ribosomal RNA", at positions 339 to 795 of the family's 1533-position model. The record is from RNAcentral.